UUAAGUUUCUACAUGCUAAUAUUAUAUAUGGACCUUUUGAUCACACUGUUUGAUACUGGGUUCUGCAUCACUUCUAUUCUUGAAAUUAUAAAACCUUAAAUAUCAAUGUUUUACGUCCUCCAUUAUUUCAAGACUCAUGUAUGAGUUUUUUCCAAACAGAGGAGAAUGAUUCAUUAAGGCUUAAGUUUAGACUGUGUAAACUGACAUGAAAUUAUACUUUUUUAAU
RNAcentral lists this long non-coding RNA (226 nucleotides) under Carica papaya (papaya). Its description in RNAcentral is "long non-coding RNA (CPAP_LNC016438)". Lineage: Eukaryota; Viridiplantae; Streptophyta; Magnoliopsida; Brassicales; Caricaceae. The record is from RNAcentral.